UACGUAGGGUGCGAGCGUUGUCCGGAAUUAUUGGGCGUAAAGAGCUCGUAGGCGGUCUGUCGCGUCGAUCGUGAAAACUUGGGGCUUAACCCUGAGCUUGCGGUCGAUACGGGCAUGACUGGAGUUCGGCAGGGGAGACUGGAAUUCCUGGUGUAGCGGUGAAAUGCGCAGAUAUCAGGAGGAACACCGGUGGCGAAGGCGGGUCUCUGGGCCGAUACUGACGCUGAGGAGCGAAAGCGUGGGGAGCGAACGGG
RNAcentral lists this ribosomal RNA (254 nucleotides) under uncultured bacterium. Its description in RNAcentral is "partial 16S ribosomal RNA". It matches the Rfam family "Bacterial small subunit ribosomal RNA", at positions 524 to 776 of the family's 1533-position model. The record is from RNAcentral.